UACGUAGGGGGCAAGCGUUGUCCGGAUUUAUUGGGCGUAAAGAGCGUGUAGGCGGCCUGAAAGGUCAGCUGUGAAAACUCGAGGCUCAACCUCGAGACGUCGGUUGAAACCAUCUGGCUAGAGUCCGGAAGAGGAGUGUGGAAUUCCCGGUGUAGCGGUGAAAUGCGCAGAUAUCGGGAAGAACACCCGUGGCGAAGGCGGCUCACUGGCUCAUUACUGACGCUCAGGCGCGACAGCGUGGGGAUCAAACAGG
This 253-nucleotide ribosomal RNA is filed under the name uncultured bacterium. Its description in RNAcentral is "partial 16S ribosomal RNA". It matches the Rfam family "Bacterial small subunit ribosomal RNA", at positions 524 to 776 of the family's 1533-position model. The record is from RNAcentral.